CAAUAGCAUAUAUUAAUGUUGUUGCAGUUAAAAAGCUCGUAGUUGGAUCUCUGUAGGAGUGCCAAUGUCCACCCACGUGUGAGUUGCAGCGGCGCUCCUGCAUCCUUCGGUUACCUCCGCUCGGCAUUCACUUGCCGGCGGUUGGCUCCGAAUAUUUACCUUGAGAAAAUUAGAGUGUUUCAGGCAGGCUAAGCCGGAAUACAUUAGCAUGGAAUAAUAGAAUAGGACUACGGUCUCGUUGUUGGUUUGAGGGACUGGAGUAAUGAUUAAUAGGGAUAGUUGGGGGCAUUAGUAUUUAAUUGUCAGAGGUGAAAUUCUCAGAUUAACUAAAGACUAACUUAUGCGAAAGCAUUUGCCAAGGAUGUUUNCAUUAA
Molecule: ribosomal RNA, 374 nt
Filed under: uncultured eukaryote
Lineage: Eukaryota
Description: partial 18S ribosomal RNA
Rfam family: Eukaryotic small subunit ribosomal RNA
Source: RNAcentral